ACAGCAGUCGCCGCGGUAAUUCGUAGGUGGCAAGCGUUGUCCGGAAUUAUUGGGCGUAAAGGGCUCGCAGGCGGUUUCUUAAGUCUGAUGUGAAAGCCCCCGGCUCAACCGGGGAGGGUCAUUGGAAACUGGGAAACUUGAGUGCAGAAGAGGAGAGUGGAAUUCCACGUGUAGCGGUGAAAUGCGUAGAGAUGUGGAGGAACACCAGUGGCGAAGGCGACUCUCUGGUCUGUAACUGACGCUGAGGAGCGAAGGCGUGGGGAGCGAACAGGAUUAGAUACCCGUGUAGUCCCUGUCUCUUAUAA
Molecule: ribosomal RNA, 305 nt
Filed under: uncultured bacterium
Lineage: Bacteria
Description: partial 16S ribosomal RNA
Rfam family: Bacterial small subunit ribosomal RNA
Source: RNAcentral